CAGCCGCCGCGGUAACACGUAGGUGGCAAGCGUUGUCCGGAAUUAUUGGGCGUAAAGGGCUCGCAGGCGGUUUCUUAAGUCUGAUGUGAAAGCCCCCGGCUCAACCGGGGAGGGUCAUUGGAAACUGGGAAACUUGAGUGCAGAAGAGGAGAGUGGAAUUCCACGUGUAGCGGUGAAAUGCGUAGAGAUGUGGAGAAACACCAGUGGCGAAGGCGACUCUCUGGUCUGUAACUGACGCUGAGGAGCGAAAGCGUGGGGAGCGAACAGGAUUAGAUACCCGUGUAGUCCCUGUCUCUUAUAA
Molecule: ribosomal RNA, 301 nt
Filed under: uncultured bacterium
Lineage: Bacteria
Description: partial 16S ribosomal RNA
Rfam family: Bacterial small subunit ribosomal RNA
Source: RNAcentral